RNAcentral lists this long non-coding RNA (1235 nucleotides) under Castor canadensis (American beaver). RNAcentral's name for it is "lncRNA (ENSCCNG00000024110.1)". Lineage: Eukaryota; Metazoa; Chordata; Mammalia; Rodentia; Castoridae. The record is from RNAcentral.
AUGCUAGUUGUUUUUAGUCCUGUUACGAUCUGUCCAAUUUCUGUAAAUACACACAUCCUUCUGACCUUUCAAAAUACUCCCAGAGGUGUGGUGCCAACACUUCCUAUGAGGCAUCCUCUAAAACAAUUUUACUCCUAUUCACAGGCACUGAUGCUUUGCGCUGGGAAAAACUGUGCAGAGUUUUCUCCACCAAGUGCUAGGAAUUCCAAACUAUGCAUCAAUUCCACAGACUAUGUGCCAGGGAUGAACCCCAGAGCCUUGUGCCUGCUACACCACUGCUCGACCACAAAGCCACAUCCUAAUAUAGAAGUCAGAAGAAAGAAAAUUAUGGGGUUAAUGUGAAGGCAUAAAAUUAAAAAUCUUUUAAAUCACCAAGAAAACAUAAAAAUCUCAAAUGUGCAUGCAACAAUGAUGCAGUUCAAAUUUCAUGCCUACCUUAAAAAUAUAGGUGGAAUACUUCCCAAUUUAUUUCAUGCAAUCAGCGUUAAACAUCUAUCAAUACUAAACAGUUUACAAAAAAAUGAUGCAGACCAAUAUAUUUUAUUAGUAUGGAAAUGAAAAAUCUUCAACAAAAUCUUCCCAAAUUGAAUUAAAAUAUAUAAAAUACUAAUAUUGCGUAACCAAGAUGGAUUCAUCUCAGAAUGGAAGUCUUGUUCAAUGUUCAAAAAUGAAUCAAUGUAAUUCAUCAUAUUAAGUGUCUACUAGCCUGAACACCUGAGAAUAGAAACUUAAAAGAAGAAAGAUUCAUUUUGAUUCAUGUCACAGGUUUCUGUCCAUGGUCACUGUACUCUGUUGUUUCUGGGCUAUAGGGAGGAAGAAUGUCAUUUUGGGUAUCCUUGGCAGUAGCAGAACUGCUCACCUCAUAGUGGCCAGCAAGCGAAGGCAGAGAAAGAGGGGAAGAGGCCAGAGCAAAAUUUACUCUUCAAUACUAGAUCCACAGUGACUUUCAUUGUCCAAUGAGGCUCCACCUCCUUAAUUUCCAAAACUUUCCAAAAGUCCAUUGAACUGCGAAUUCAUCAGUGAAUUAAUCCAGACCUCUAAUGAUCCAAUCACCUCCCCAAGCCUCCAUGGCCUCUGAACACUGUUCACUGGGAACCAAGCCUACAAUACGUGAGUUUUUCGGGGACACUUCAUAACCAGACCAUAAAGGGUGCAAGAAGAGAAGACGUAUGAUAAUACCAAUUGAUGAAGAAAAGUGGAUAAAGUAAAUAAACCACCCGUGACAAAAAUUCUCA